AUUGAACGCUGGCGGCAGGCCUAACACAUGCAAGUCGAACGAGUGGCGGACGGGUGAGUAAUGUCUGGGACACUGCCUGAUGGCGGGGGAUCACUACUGGAAACGUUAGCUAAUACCGCAUACCAUCGGAUGUGCCCAGAUGGGAUUAGCUAGGAGGUGGGGUAACGGCUCACCUAGGCGACGAUCCCUAUCUGGUCUGAGAGGAUGACCAGCCACACUGGAACGGAGACACGGUCCAGACUCCUACGUGAGGCAGCAGUGGGGAAUAUUGAACAGUGGGCGCAAGCCUGAUGCAGCCAUGCCGCGUGUAUGAAGAAGGCCUUCGGGUUGUAAAGUACUGUCAGCGGGGAGGCGUUACCCGAAGAAGAAGCACCGGCUAACUCCGUGCCAGCAGCCGCGGUAAUAC
Molecule: ribosomal RNA, 406 nt
Filed under: uncultured bacterium
Lineage: Bacteria
Description: partial 16S ribosomal RNA
Rfam family: Bacterial small subunit ribosomal RNA
Source: RNAcentral